AUGAUAUCUCAAGGUGGAAUAUAGAAAAAUAAACUCGAGGAUUGCAGCCUUUAAUAAAAGUACAAAAAAAUUUAGAAAAUAUAUGUAAAUAAUUAUAAAGCUGUGAACAAAACUGAAGGUAUAUGAAAAGGAAAAGAAUUAACUGUUGCAUGCUGUAAGACUACCCAAAACUAACAUGGGGGUGCUAGCUGCUGACCCCCGUGCCGGUAUGGACCCACUGGACAAUUACUAAAUAAAACUACUAAUAUAUGUAUGUAGCACACAUUUCAUUGCGAUCUUAAUGUCGCACAAUUCAACGCCACUCGGGUCAUUCACCGCGCCAUAAAAGUCGCUGUAUUGACGCCGCGGACAUAAAUCCUCCAAAAAUUUGGCGCGUACAUGGAAAAUAACGCACAAAACAACAAACCAUAAAGGAGCUGUGCAGCAACAAUAAAAAUUCAGCAACAUAAACUUUGAUGUAUUUUCAAAUGCUUUAAAACGCACAAUCAAAAAACAAAAACAAACAAAUAACGAGCGAGCACUUUAAAUGAAGCCCACGCUGUUGCUACCUGCCGAAGAGGCUACAAAUGCGAAGACAGACGGAAAUAAGCUUACUUUAGGAUGGUUAAAGCGUUAUUUGGAAUAUUCGGUCGACUUUAUACGCAUGCAACCAAGUCAGUUACAUAAGAAUGGGCUUCGUAUGAUUAUGAAGUUUAAUUUAUUUACAUUUUGGGUGAAUA
This is a long non-coding RNA of Zeugodacus cucurbitae (melon fly), 719 nucleotides long. RefSeq lists it as uncharacterized. The record is from RefSeq and is a predicted model, not a curated record. NCBI's taxonomy places the organism in Eukaryota, Metazoa, Arthropoda, Insecta, Diptera, Tephritidae. The transcript is spliced from 3 exons.